Oncorhynchus keta (chum salmon) is the source of this 805-nucleotide long non-coding RNA. RefSeq lists it as uncharacterized. The record is from RefSeq and is a predicted model, not a curated record. The transcript is spliced from 3 exons. Lineage: Eukaryota; Metazoa; Chordata; Actinopteri; Salmoniformes; Salmonidae.
CUUAAUAAAAGCGAGAGGGAGGGGCCAUGUUUGAGCAAGCUUUCCCACUCAGGAACUUCUAUUCCUAUCAUGUAAUUUCACAAUACACAACGGUCCUCUUUGUGACCGUAGGAGGACUUAUUAAACUCAACAAAUUAACAUGAGCGCUUAGACAGAGCCACAAUGUUGGCGGUGGGCAAUCAACCAGCCACACUGAAGACAGAGAAAACAAGAGAGGUGUGGAUGUGUGGAGAGAAUGAGCAGUGAAGAGGAGAAACAGCAGGAGAGGUGGGAAUGUGGAACAGGAAAAGAGAGAGGUGGGAAUGUGGAACAGGAAAAGAGAGAGGUGGGAAUGUGGAACAGGAAAAGAGAGAGGUGGGAAUGUGGAACAGGAAAAGAGAGAGGUGGGAAUGUGGAACAGGAAAAGAGAGAGGUGGGAAUGUGGAACAGGAAAAGAGAGAGGUGGGAAUGUGGAACAGGAAAAGAGAGAGGUGGGAAUGUGGAACAGGAAAAGAGAGAGGUGGGAAUGUGGAACAGGAAAAGAGAGAGGUGGGGAGAACGAGAAAGGGAUAAAAUAGCAGUGGUCUUUUGGUUGGACUAAGUGGUUUCACCAUAGAGCAGCUCAGAUAGUCUGAGAGGAUUUGUGGGACUCAUCUACCGUUUAAUUGACAAAGAAGAUUGGUCAGAUCCUCUGCCAAAUAGAGAGAGCACCAGAAAUUGUUCAGUUUGGAUGACAAAUAACUCAUUAAUAUGGAUAUUAAGCGUAUGUGACCCAUGGCAGAAAGCUGGGAGUAUGUCACACGUAACUACUUCACAGAAGAGGCAU